Molecule: long non-coding RNA, 222 nt
Filed under: Medicago truncatula (barrel medic)
Lineage: Eukaryota; Viridiplantae; Streptophyta; Magnoliopsida; Fabales; Fabaceae
Description: long non-coding RNA (MTRU_LNC003229)
Source: RNAcentral
AAGAUGCAAUAAUGUCAAGAGAUGGGUUAUAUAUAAAGAUAUAUAUGGAGAGAAAAGCCAAGUUGCAUAUGUGAGAUGGAAUAAAAGUUGGAGCAGGAAUGGCAGAGGAAUAAGCAUCAAUAUGUCUUUCCAAUUGAUUUAGAUUUCCAACAGUUUUAGUUUGACUGCAAUAUAUCAUACGUUUCAUUAUAUUGGUAUGUCUAUAGUUAAUAUUUGAAUGCA